Molecule: long non-coding RNA, 1245 nt
Filed under: Fragaria vesca (wild strawberry)
Lineage: Eukaryota; Viridiplantae; Streptophyta; Magnoliopsida; Rosales; Rosaceae
Description: long non-coding RNA (FVES_LNC005542)
Source: RNAcentral
UCAAACAUAUAAUUUUCAAGUGAAAUAUUUUUCAAAAUUUUCAUAAGAGUUAUCGGGGUUCUAACAGCAGAAACUCAAACCGAAGUUUUGAGUAUAAAAUAUCAAUGACUUAAAAAGUGAAUUUGGAGUUUCACUUAAGUUACUCGAGCCUGAAGUUUCAAGCAGCAGUUAACUUGAAGUUAACAUUUUAAGAACUUGUAGUUCUACCAUUAUAAAAUCGGACAUGAAGCUUCGAUUACAUAUAUGAAUGAUGGCUUUAGAAUAGCAUAUACUAUCCCGUUUUUACAUUAAGUGCGGGCCCCCAAAAUGUUCCCAGAUUAUAUAACACAUAUUGUGAUGUGAGAUCCUACCUCACCUGAGGGAUGGCAGGAGAUGUGUCUAACAUGCAAACAUACCUCCCUAUAUUGUGAUGCAUUUUGGGUUCCAAUGCACACAGUAUCUCGCUAUGCGGCCUAUUACGUGUCAAAUUCUAUAGUAAAGUGAGACACAAAAUGUCAUGAAACAACAGUUCAUUGAACAAAAUAUACAUUAUUUUGGCAUGACUAGUUACGUCAUAUUUUACAUAAAGUGUUACUUGGAAUCAGUUCAACUCUUGAUGACCACUAACUAACGCUACUUUGAGCAAAUUGUUCAUUUGCCUCAUAUAUGUUUUGUUUUAUCACCUUAAUGAGACACUCCUCUUGUUAUGCGGGGGAUAAAUAUUAUUCUUGAAGAACGACAUGAAUUGUUGUGAAAUAUUUACCUACUGUCUCAUUUUGAGCUUGAGAAAUAUCUCAGCUAGUGAUUUAUUAAAGCUAGUGAUGACAAAACUAUAUGUUAGUACAAAAACAUUUGCUUGGGUUAAAGUCUAUGAGACUAACCAUAUUAACAAAACAACCUUGACCCCAUUUGAUUUGUGGGAGGAAUGUAUAUCUACGUGACAUGGUUCUCCUAACGAGAAUGUCAUUAAAAAUAUUCGAGUUCCUAAUAUGGCGGCUACAAUAUUACACAUACAAAGGUUAAAAGUACACCAUCAGAUGAUGAUAUCUUAGUCAUACAAAAAUACAUCCAUAUGGUUGAUACUCAUGAAUUUAAUAAUUUUGACCUUACACUUGGUUUAAGUUCACCACCAGCCAAUGGACAUCUUCACUCGAAAGGAAGUGAUAGACAUUUAAACGCAUUUUUAUGCAUGGUCAUGAUAAGACAGUGUUUGAUUCCCACCAAAUGGGGGAGAGAAAAGACUACUAUCAUUUGAAUAACGGUGUG